AAUCCAUGCCGGGGGCAAAGUCUGAGCAUAUUCUUGAAUCUAUCCCAAGCUUCAUAUAGAGAUUUUGAGUUAGGUUGUCUAAAACUAGCAAUCAAAUUUCACAUGUGUGC
Small nucleolar RNA from Zingiber officinale, 110 nucleotides. Lineage: Eukaryota; Viridiplantae; Streptophyta; Magnoliopsida; Zingiberales; Zingiberaceae. The record is from RefSeq and is a predicted model, not a curated record.